This 793-nucleotide ribosomal RNA is filed under the name uncultured archaeon. Its description in RNAcentral is "bacterial SSU rRNA". It matches the Rfam family "Archaeal small subunit ribosomal RNA", at positions 85 to 879 of the family's 1478-position model. The record is from RNAcentral.
ACGGCUCAGUAACACGUGGACAACUUACCCAAGAGUCCGGGAUAACCCCGGGAAACUGGGGAUAAUACCGGAUAGAUCAUCUGUGCUGGAAGGCUGGGUGGUUGAAACUUCCGGGGCUUUUGGAUGGGUCUGCGGCUGAUUAGGUUGUUGCCGGUGUAACGUACCGUCAAGCCUGUAAUCAGUACGGGUUGUGGGAGCAAGAGCCCGGAGAUGGAUUCUGAGACACGAAUCCAGGCCCUACGGGGCGCAGCAGGCGCGAAAACUUUACAAUGCAGGCAACUGCGAUAGGGGAACAUCGAGUGAUCCUCAUAUUGGGGGUCUGUCCACCCGUCUAAAAAACGGGUGUUAGCAAGGGCCGGGCAAGACCGGUGCCAGCCGCCGCGGUAAUACCGGCGGCUCGAGUGGUGGCCGAUAUUAUUGAGUCUAAAGGGUCCGUAGCCGGCUUUGCAAGUCUCUCGGGAAAUCCAGCGGCUUAACCGUUGGUCGUCCGGGGGGUACUACAUUGCUUGGGACUGGGAGAGGUAGGAGGUACUCAGGGGGUAGGAGUGAAAUCCUGUAAUCCUUUGGGGACCACCGGUGGCGAAGGCGUCCUACCAGAACAGGUCCGACGGUGAGGGACGAAAGCUAGGGGCACGAACCGGAUUAGAUACCCGGGUAGUCCUAGCCGUAAACGAUGCUCGCUAGGUGUCACAACAGUCGUGAAUUGUUGUGGUGCCGUAGGGAAGCCGUGAAGCGAGCCACUUGGGAAGUACGACCGCAAGGUUGAAACUUAAAGGAAUUGGCGGGGGAGCAC